UUCGUUUGCAGUUCAGUAAGUGAAACAACAAUACAUGAGACUACCACUUGAAGUCUAGUGUAGCCCUAAAGCUGAUCCAUGGUGUCCUCUGAAUUUGGCGUCAAACUGUUAUGUUUGCUUUAGGUGUGUCUGUACGCCGACUUUGAGAUUGUGUGUGUGUGUGUGUAUGACAGAACCCUCUCCACCAAUGGAUGAAAAGGAGUGGCAUAUCUUUAACGUGCCUUACAGCAAGGUGCUGCUCCUGGGGGCCAUCGCCGCGGCGACCGUCUUCGUUGUGACCAUUCUCAUCGUGCUGGUGUGUGUCGGAUGCCAAAGCUGUCCUAGGAAAGACAAAAGAAAAUACUCUUCAACCAAUACGCACACGCUAUACGCCACGGUAGAACGGUAGAACCAGAGGUAGAACAGAACGGGGCCAGCCGACACGGAGAUGGCACAUCACAGCCAGGAGGGCGGCAAGAGUGUGUUCAACCUGCAGUCCUUCCCAAAAUAUCUCACGUUGAUGGAUUUUAAGCAGAAAUGGCUGCAGGGAGAAGCUAAUCUACAUCUUAACAACCCUCUGAAGCCUGGUUAAUGUGUGUCUACAAGCCUUAUCUCAAGCAUACUGCGGGACAUUUCCUCAGUGUUCCACCAAGCUGAACAAGAUUGUGGUGUGCAAAAAAAAAAAGAAAAAAAAUCCGAAUGUGCCUAUAAGACAAAGGCAUAGUCACAGUCUACACCAUUCAUAAAACCUUCCCUAAUGGUGUAACUCACGUCUUUAUCCUCCGGCAUUGUCUGGGGCUCAUAUGAACAGUGGUGGAGGAAGUAGGCCUACUGAAGUUUAGUACUUAAGUAAAAGUACAAUU
This is a long non-coding RNA of Clupea harengus (Atlantic herring), 842 nucleotides long. RefSeq lists it as uncharacterized. The record is from RefSeq and is a predicted model, not a curated record. NCBI's taxonomy places the organism in Eukaryota, Metazoa, Chordata, Actinopteri, Clupeiformes, Clupeidae.